CGUCCUGCAGGGAUAGGGGCGGCACGGGGAAACGACAAAAGAGGCGGGGAAGGAAAUGGAGAAGCAAAAGAAGCAGAAGGGAAGAGAGUAGAAAAAGGAUGGAUGGGAGGCAACGUUUUCCCAGACGAAAAAGACGAGGAGUGUUGAGUGGCAAGAUCAAACUGCACAGAAGGAACAAAAUGAAAGUGAGACAUUUGUUGGGUUUUUUUUUUUUUUUUUUUUUUCUCUCCUCGGGACGAGACGGGAGAAAGAGCGAGACCGCAGCCGGGCAAACUGCCUGUCUUGACCCCUCCCUUUUCCACGCGCCAUAUCCCUAAAAUAACACGGAGCAUCCCCGUAGAGGCCUCCAGGCUUGCUCUUGGAAGGCUGCUGUCACGGUGGAGUUGGAAUUUGGCCACACACACAUAUAUAUAUAUUUUUUUAACGACCAUCACGGCUCUUUUAUGCUACAGGUGCACGGCUGCGGUCUUGCGCGCGCACACACACACACACGCACGCGCACAAGUCUGGGCGCUGAGGUCAUCCAAUGUGGCUCCCAGUUAAAAGCAAGAAGAGAGGUCGUGGAUAUUUUUUCUACAGCUACGUCGCUUUUCCAUACUAGGAAAUGUGUGCACUGUUAGUAAGGUCAUGAAAAAAGUCUUCAAAAUUCGUUGUUUAGAAUCGUUUUGUCCAUAAGACAAAAUGGAAAUGGAAAUAAACCAUUUCAGGGCCAUGUUGUUGAUAUUAUAAAACAGGAUGUGUGAAAAUACAUUCACUAUAACUGCUGUCUAAUAUAACAAUAGAGGCAAAUAUAUUUAUGCUUUGUAUAGCUUUCAGGUUCCACUGUACGAAAAAAAAAAAAAAAACACUAAAUGAACUUCCCUGGCAGCCAUACAUUGACAACAACUCAGCCUCCAUCCUUUUUGGUUUUUGAAAUCCCCAUCAGCACUACUCUCUGCCACGGGACAACCUGUCCAGCAAAACGCGACGGCAGAAGGCAAGGCAGGUGCACCGCAGCCCACCCCAGGCCCCUCACUGUCCAAAACAACCCAAGGAGGCUGGAGCGAGCGGCACAAGUUCACGAAACAAAAGGGGAGCUUGAACCCGUGAUGACUCACUGAAGCAGAGCCUUGGUCUUGCGGGACGGAUCGUCGGGCCUGAAGUUCUUGUACUCUUCCACCUCCUUCUCGAUGGAGAGGAGCUGGCUUUGCAGCUUGGCCCGCAGAGCCGGCAGCGUGUCCCGGAUGUGGUUGGAGAGUUCAUCAGCUGCAGAACUAAAGGACGACGGGUCACGAUGCCGGAGCCACGUGGAAGGAAAUCCCUAGAACACAACAAUGCUACGUGAGA
Long non-coding RNA from Hippocampus comes (tiger tail seahorse), 1326 nucleotides. RefSeq lists it as uncharacterized. The transcript is spliced from 3 exons. The record is from RefSeq and is a predicted model, not a curated record. Lineage: Eukaryota; Metazoa; Chordata; Actinopteri; Syngnathiformes; Syngnathidae.